RNAcentral lists this ribosomal RNA (914 nucleotides) under uncultured euryarchaeote. RNAcentral describes it as "bacterial SSU rRNA". It matches the Rfam family "Archaeal small subunit ribosomal RNA", at positions 1 to 921 of the family's 1478-position model. Lineage: Archaea; Methanobacteriati; Methanobacteriota. The record is from RNAcentral.
UUCCGGUUGAUCCUGCCGGAGGCUACCGCUAUUGGAGUUCGAUUAAGCCAUGCGAGUCGCGAGAAUUAGAUUCUCGGCGUACCGCUCAGUAACACGUGGGUAACCUGCCCUAUGCUGGAUAAUAACCUCGGGAAACUGAGAAUAAUGAUCUAUAGUUCACUACGCCUGGAACGGUGAGUGGAUGAAAGCCCCGGCGGCAUAGGAUGGGCCUGCGGCGUAUCAGGUUGUAGGGGGUGUAAUGUACCCUCUAGCCCUCUACGCGUACGGGUGUUGAGAGACAUCGCCCGGAGAUGGAUUCUGAGACACGAAUCCAGACCCUACGGGGUGCAGCAGGCGCGAAAACUUGGCAAUGCGAGAAAUCGUGACCAGGGAACUCCAAGUGCAUGGGGUAAGACCUAUGCUUUUCUAGACUCUAAAAAGGUCUUGGAAUAAGAGGUGGGUAAGGACGGUGCCAGCCGCCGCGGUAAUACCGGCGCCUCAAGUGGUAGUCGCUUUUAUUGGGCCUAAAACGUCCGUAGCCGGUCUGAUACAUUCGUGGGUAAAUCAACCAGCUUAACUGGUUGAAUUCUGCGAGGACGGUCAGACUUGGGACCGGGAGAGGUGUGGGGUACGCUCAGGGUAGGGGUAAAAUCCUGUCAUCCUGAGCGGACCACCUGUUGCGAAGGCGCCACACUAGAACGGAUCCGACGGUCAGGGACGAAGCCUAGGGGCACGAACCGGAUUAGAUACCCGGGUAGUCCUAGGUGUAAACGCUGUGGACUUGAUGUUGGGGGUGCUCCGAGCACUCUCAGUGUCGAAGCGAAGGCGAUAAGUCCACUGCCUGGGAAGUACGGUCGCAAGGCUGAAACUUAAAGGAAUUGGCGGGGGAGCACCGCAACCUGAGGAUUGUGCGGUUUAAUUGGAUUCAACGCCGG